RNAcentral lists this unclassified non-coding RNA (285 nucleotides) under Hevea brasiliensis (rubber tree). The record is from RNAcentral. Lineage: Eukaryota; Viridiplantae; Streptophyta; Magnoliopsida; Malpighiales; Euphorbiaceae.
GCAGUAGUGUAGCGGUAUCUGAACCUGUGAACUCCGAGUCUUCUUCAAGUCCUGUAAGGAAGAGAAUAGUCUCCGGUGUUCAGCCUACUGGAUCUAUACAUCUGGGGAAUUACCUUGGUGCCAUAAAGAACUGGAUACGAUUGCAGGAUACAUAUGAGACAUUCUUCUUCAUUGUGGACCUUCAUGCGAUAACUUUGCAAUAUGAAGCACAACAAUUGCUAAAGGCAACAAGGGAUACAGCUGCUAUUUAUCUAGCAUGUGGUGUAGAUCCUUCUAAGGCUUCAG